GUACCAUUAGCUCAAUUGGAUAGAGCGUUUGGCUACGGACCAAAAGGUUAGGGGUUCGAGUCCCUUAUGGUACGCCA
This 77-nucleotide transfer RNA is filed under the name Bacillota bacterium. RNAcentral's name for it is "Firmicutes bacterium (gut metagenome) tRNA-Arg". It matches the Rfam family "tRNA". From Rfam's summary of the family: Transfer RNA (tRNA) molecules are approximately 80 nucleotides in length. Their secondary structure includes four short double-helical elements and three loops (D, anti-codon, and T loops). The record is from RNAcentral. Lineage: Bacteria; Bacillati; Bacillota.